GUCAAUCUGGGAUUUGGUACAUGCAGUUUUUAUUUUUUUUAAACUUUUCACAUUGAAAAGAAUAAUUUUGAUCCCAUGGAUGGCUAGAUGCUGCAUCCAUAGUGAUGAAUGCGAGAGAGGUGAUGUUUCUCCCGCCCCAUCCCUUAGAUGUUUACCUUAAUAACAAGUGGCCAGAUGACCUAAACCGAUUCAAAUUGCAUUUUGUGUCUUGGCCUUUUUUCCACAUUUAAAACACAGACGUUGUAAAAGUUGAAUCAAUGUUUGGGGUUAAAUAUCUGCAUUCAUAUGUCAAGUCAUUACAAAAGUUCAGAGAGGUGGAUUGUGUGUAAGGUGUGACGCACUACCACCAUGCCACCACCAGUACUACUGUCUGCCACGUCUAAGAUGUCUUCUGGUUCAGUGCACUAUAUGGCCUCCGAGGUGUUUAGAGACGUUGUUGACUCGGUUAAGAGGGUUAGGGUUAGUGCACUAUAUGGCCCCCGAGGUGUUUAGAGACAUUGUUGACUCGGUUAAGAGGGUUAGUGCACUAUAUGGCCUCCGAGGUGUUUAGAGACGUUGUUGACUCGGUUAAGAGGGUUAGUGCACUAUAUGGCCUCCGAGGUGUUUAGAGACGUUGUUGACUCGGUUAAGAGGGUUAGUGCACUAUAUGGCCUCCGAGGUGUUUAGAGACGUUGUUGACUCGGUUAAGAGGGUUAGGGUUAGUGCACUAUAUGGCCUCCGAGGUGUUUAGAGACGUUGUUGACUCAGUUAAGAGGGUUAGUGCACUAUAUGGCCUCCGAGGUGUUUAGAGACGUUGUUGACUCGGUUAAGAGGGUUAGGGUUAGUGCACUAUAUGGCCUCCGAGGUGUUUAGAGACGUUGUUGACUCAGUUAAGAGGGUUAGUGCACUAUAUGGCCCC
Molecule: long non-coding RNA, 898 nt
Organism: Oncorhynchus tshawytscha (Chinook salmon)
Lineage: Eukaryota; Metazoa; Chordata; Actinopteri; Salmoniformes; Salmonidae
Source: Ensembl